AGCUGGAGCCCGCGGAGCCCACGGAGGAUCCCCAGCGUCCGAACGGGCAGACCCCCCGAGCCGCGAAGGAGCCCGAGAAGCAGCCACGAUGUGCGGAAUCUUUGCCUACAUGAACUACAGAGUCCCCCGGACGAGGAAGGAGAUCUUCGAAACCCUCAUCAAGGGCCUGCAGCGGCUGGAGUACAGAGGCUACGACUCGGCAGGUGUGGCGAUCGAUGGGAAUAAUCACGAAGUCAAAGAAAGACACAUUCAGCUGGUCAAGAAAAGGGGGAAAGUCAAGGCUCUCGAUGAAGAACUUUACAGUAAGUGGAGGACCUCUGAGUGGGAGGAGCCGCUGCAGCGCCGGCCGCUUUCUAGGCCCGUAAUCCAACAGCGCCGGAGACUAGAGAUUCUCCUUUGUCCCAGCUCAGAUAAACAGAGGGAGGGUUAAGCCCAUGCUGUAAAACCGGGCUUCGCAGGGUAUGGGAUGGUUUAUUUUAGGUGGUGGCGGCACAUGGAUAAUUUUUUUAAGUGUGAAGGGUUACAUACAGUAGUUAUUUUAAUUAUUCCAGCAAAUGAUACUGCUUUUCUGUUUAUGGUAGGGAUAUAUCAUUUUCUUUUUAAAGCAAGUUUAUUUCUGUGAAGAAGUGAGCUAAGCUACAGACAAGUAGUAAAUAACCCUCAGCACGGGUGGUUUGUGGGCCUGUGCGGACUCCCAGGGUGGGAGCUGGUGAGGAGGUGCCAUCGGUGUGGGUGACGUGACUUGGGUAACGACACCAGGUUGCACUCACAGUCCUGGGUCGAGGCUUGUUGUUCAAGUGCGGCAAACUGAUUUUCCUUUCAUUUAGAACAAGACAGCAUGGACUUAAAAGUGGAGUUUGAGACACACUUCGGCAUUGCCCACACGCGCUGGGCCACCCACGGGGUCCCCAG
This 912-nucleotide small RNA is filed under the name Pan troglodytes (chimpanzee). RNAcentral's name for it is "retained intron". Lineage: Eukaryota; Metazoa; Chordata; Mammalia; Primates; Hominidae. The record is from RNAcentral.